GUUUUCUAAAACCACCCUUCUAGAACCCUCCACUUCUCCUAUUAAACUGACAUACAGAUUGAGUCAGUAGCCACACAACAAAUAUAUAUUUCCAAUCAUCUGAUUAGGUUUUGGUGAGAGAAUGGUGAGGGCAUUUCAGGGGUCGACUGAAGGCCCGGACGAGGAGGUAGAUGGUGGUCUCUUAUUCAACUUUGUGUUCCCUUAGGGUUCAGAGCAUCGAAUCCAUGAUUUACCAGAUUGAGGAGGAUGGGAACACGUGGACUUGGAGGCAUCUUUCCUCUUUCAAGAAUCGACCCUCAAUCGCAGAGGAAGUAGAAGGGAAAGAUUGCUGAGAGCGCCGUUAAAGAAAAGCAUCAUUCUCCAAUAUGGUGGAUAAGAACUUGCCAGGCCCAAUUCCUGAUGGCUGGGAGAUUAAGACUGAAUACCAGAAGGAUGGAUCUGAAAUCCCGUGUUACUGGUGUCCCAGAAGUGGUCUCCAUUCCAUCACAUAUGAAGAUAUGAUGCGAUAUGUAAAAUAAGCUGAGGAAUACCAGCUUCCGAUCUACUCACCAGAUUUUCAGACCAUGAAAAUUAGAAAGAAAGCUCAUUGGUCCCAAAAGGAGAACUUUGUUGAUCAUGAUUCAUGUAUGAAGGCUUAAAUUCAGUUGGUCUACGGAACCCAAUUGCUAAAUGCAACCAAUUCUAGAAAUGGACGACCUUGUUAGCAAGAAUGUUCAGUAUUGGGAAAGUACUUUGUAUGAUAUGGACUGUCUUCCUCCCAUGUAAUUUUCUUUUUGUCCUCUACGUUAGAUCAGGAUCUGGAAAGAAUUUUGAUCCUCUAUGAAUAUACAUUUUUCACACGAA
Long non-coding RNA from Rosa chinensis, 843 nucleotides. RefSeq lists it as uncharacterized. NCBI's taxonomy places the organism in Eukaryota, Viridiplantae, Streptophyta, Magnoliopsida, Rosales, Rosaceae. The transcript is spliced from 2 exons. The record is from RefSeq and is a predicted model, not a curated record.